Molecule: ribosomal RNA, 468 nt
Filed under: uncultured bacterium
Lineage: Bacteria
Description: partial 16S ribosomal RNA
Rfam family: Bacterial small subunit ribosomal RNA
Source: RNAcentral
GACGAACGCUGGCGGCGUGCUUAACACAUGCAAGUCGAACGGAAAGGCCCUGCUUUUGUGGGGUGCUCGAGUGGCGAACGGGUGUGUAACACGUGAGUAUCCUGCCCUUGACUUUGGGAUAACUUCAGGCAACUGGGGCUAAUACCGGAUAGGAGCUCCUGCUGCAUGGUGGGGGUUGGAAAGUUUCGGCGGUUGGGGGUGGACGGGCGGCUUAUCAGCUUGUUGGGGGGGUAGUGGCUUACCAAGGCUUUGGCGGGUAGCCGGCAUGGGAGGGUGACCGGCCACAUUGGGACUGAGAUACGGACCAGUGUCCAACGGGAGGCAGCAGUGGGGAAUAUUGCACAAUGGGCGGAAGCCUGAUGCAGAGACGUCGCGUGCGGGAUGACGGCCUUCGGGUGGUAAACCGCUUUCGCCUGUGACGAAGCGUGAGUGACGGUAAUGGGUAAAGAAGCACCGGCUAACUACGUG